Molecule: ribosomal RNA, 463 nt
Filed under: uncultured soil bacterium
Lineage: Bacteria
Description: bacterial SSU rRNA
Rfam family: Bacterial small subunit ribosomal RNA
Source: RNAcentral
AGAGCGAACGCUAGCGGCGGGCCUAACACAUGCAAGUCGAGCGGGGAACUUCGGUUCCCAGCGGCGGACGGGUGAGUAACACGUAGGUAACGUAUCUUCUGGUGGGGGAACAACCGCGGGAAACCGCGGCUAAUUCCGCAUAUGUCCUUCGGGAUGAAAGCCUUCGGGCGCCAGUCGAGCGGGCCUGCGGCCGAUUAUUUAUUCCUAGUUGGUAGGGUAACGGCCUACCAAGGGUACGAUCGGUAGCUGGUCUGAGAGGAUGAUCAGCCACACUGGAACUGAGACACGGUCCAGACUCCUACGGGAGCAGCAGUGGGGAAUAUUGCGCAAUGGGCGAAAGCCUGACGCAGCCACGCCGCGUGAGUGAUGAAGGCCUUCGGGGUUGAAAGUCUCUGUCGGGAGGGAAGGAAAGGCCGCGAAGGCCUUGACGGUACCUCGCAAGAAAGCACCGCUAACUCUCGUG